UACGUAGGGACCAAGCGUUGUUCGGAUUUACUGGGCGUAAAGGGCUCGUAGGCGGCCAACUAAGUCAGACGUGAAAUCCCUCGGCUUAACCGGGGAACUGCGUCUGAUACUGGAUGGCUAGAGGUUGGGAGAGGGAUGCGGAAUUCCAGGUGUAGCGGUGAAAUGCGUAGAUAUCUGGAGGAACACCGGUGGCGAAGGCGGCAUCCUGGACCAAUUCUGACGCUGAGGAGCGAAAGCCAGGGGAGCAAACGGG
This 253-nucleotide ribosomal RNA is filed under the name uncultured bacterium. RNAcentral's name for it is "partial 16S ribosomal RNA". It matches the Rfam family "Bacterial small subunit ribosomal RNA", at positions 524 to 776 of the family's 1533-position model. The record is from RNAcentral.